RNAcentral lists this long non-coding RNA (4215 nucleotides) under Vitis vinifera (wine grape). RNAcentral describes it as "long non-coding RNA (VVIN_LNC004873)". Lineage: Eukaryota; Viridiplantae; Streptophyta; Magnoliopsida; Vitales; Vitaceae. The record is from RNAcentral.
CCAGCUAAUUUUGCAGAAGAAUGGAAAACAAAAAACCUAAGUUGAAAUCCAACCUUCCACGACAUGUGUAAGGUGCAGAAGGGGUGGGGGGAAAGGCUUUCCCAACAUUUAUUGUUACCUAUCCAGAUGAGGCGGGCAGCUACAGGGUCUCAUGCGUCUCAUUAUGAUUGAAAUUGAAAGAUACCUGCAAUUACAGAAACCUCAUCUACUUUUGGUUAGAAUGUCGCAACUCAUGAAAGCUACUGGUGUUAGUAUGUCCGACUCUCUGUAAUCUUCUCACUACUCUUCCUCUCUAAUCAAUGUGUCCUAUUAUAGUUAUUUGCUCUUUGGAUUUAGGGUUCCAAAUUCCACUGGUGGGCCACCUGAUAUUAUAGUACUGGACACUGCUAUGUCUAGGCUUUUCUUUCAUCGUCAGGGGAUCCCUCAAUAGAGUGCAUACAUUUUUCAAACUAGGACUGUUGAAAAAAAAAAGAAAAAAGGAAAAAAAAAAAAGAAGUAAUUUUCAUUGGUUGGUAGGAAAAGAUUUUUUUAUGACCUCGUGGGUUUGUUAUAUUAUCCCAUGAGUUGAGCUUUAUGUAAUAAAUUUAGGUUAGUUUCAUGGUUUGGAUUAAAUAUAUCUAAUUAUUUUUAAUUCAAAAGUUAAAAGAGAGAAAAAAUGAGAAAAGUAAGAGGAUAUUCGAACAAAUUUUAGGCUACAAUAAAUCUAGUAAAAUAAUAAUUUUGAUAUUAAGAGAAAUUACUAUAGUCAAUAAAUAAAUAAUUUAUUAAUUUAGAGAGUAUCAUCCCUCUACUAUAUUGAAUUUGUACAUCUAGUUUAUAAAUCCAAAAAAUAGAUAUAAUAAAAAAUUAAUAAAUAAAAGUCUAAAUACUUUUUAAAAGUAAUUAUUAAUUUUAGAAACUUGAAAUAAUUAAGAGAUGUAUCAAAACUUAAUAUCCUAAAAGAUAAAGAAAUUUCAAUAACAUGAUUUUAGGCGUGCAAUGAUUCCAAAAAGAGAGUUAGAAUAAAAAAGUAAAAAUAAUUUAAAAUAUUAUUCAAUAUUAUGUUUUAAAUUUUUAUUUGCUAUUUUUUUUAUAGAAAUUUUAACAAUUAUAAAUUUAUAUUUCAUUGGACCCUUAAAACUUUUUAAAUUAUCUUUUAUUAUAUACAAAGAGAUUUAUUAUUGUUUCAUACUACGAUGUUAAGUGUAUUUUAAGAGGAACGGAAUUAAAUCCAAACAAUAUAAAAUAAUUUUUUUUAUGAAAUUAAAAUUAUUUAAAUUUACAAAUCCAAUCAUAUUGUGGGCCCUUAAUUCAGUAAGACUCGUGCAGACGAUGAUUUUUAUUAUUUCUAAUUAAAAGAUUAGGACCAUGAAGUCGUGGAUCUCAUUUCCUGCCAUAAGUAAAAUAUCAUGACAGCUCAGCUGUAUGGUCCACAACUUACUGUACAGUACUAUCCUCUUAUCAGGUAUAAAAUUGUUGACCUGGACGUCAAAUUAACUUGUCACGUUAAAAAUCAGCACGAGGCCUACGUGACGAGCACUACACCUAACAACUCUAAUGAUGAGGCAAAUGAUACAGGCUUGUGAGGCCCAUAAUUUUCUUUUUGAUUACAUUUUAGACCAGAUAUUAAUAUCACACAUUGUGCUGUGCGAGAACUUUCAUAGAACGACACAACUAGCUUUGACCUUCAUUUUUCUUCCAUCUCUUCUUUCUCGGGCUCAUCGCUCGAACUGUAAUUUGUAAAGCCCGUUGGUUUUGUCACUUUCUUUCAGUUUGAUCCGUCUGGUUGAUAGGCGAUUAACACAAUGGUUCCUCACACAAAAGCCUAGUUUUAUUGUUAAGAUUGAUGAACCUGGUAGACAUGCUAGGGGGUAAAUAGCUCUCGUCUGAGGGAAGUGCAGUUCGAGAAACUCCACAAGGCGCGUCGACUCCAUCACCUUGUGUUUGGUGAAUGGACCGGGAUCUUUCUUGAGAGUAAUGGAUAGCGAGAAACAGAAGUCCAGAACUAGGAGUUUACGAAAGUGGUUCAAGUGGAAGCACAAGAGAGCCGACCCAUAUAAUUUGAGUGAAUUUUCAGGUUUGCUUUUUCUCCUCCUCUAGUCUGUGGAUUUCCGUUGUAAUUUACUUACAGUACUAUUGGCUUCUAUUUGCAGACGGGGGUGAAGAUGAAGAUGAUGAUUACUCUGGCGAUAUUUUUGUUAGGUCUUUUGAGAUGGAACCAUGCAGCAUAUUAACCAAUGAGUUAAGGUGAGGUUUCAGGAUAUAUAUUUUCCUAUGAGAUCGAAAUGGAUGAAAGAUGACAAGAUUGUUUUGCUAUAUGAGUGAUGAUAUAUGACUAUAUCUUUUAAUCAAUUUCCUAAACUAUCAAAAAAAAUAAUAUAUAUAAUUUUAUCUUUAUACUCCAGGAUUUUUGUGGGUACCUGGAAUGUUGCUGGAAGAUCGCCGGUGGGGAGCUUGGCUGUAGAUUUGGAUGAGUGGUUAAAUCCCCAGGAUGCUGCCGACGUGUAUGUUCUUGGGUAUGUGACGAAUUGAAGAUUAUCUGAAAUCUAAAAUCAGGACUUCGUAACACCACUGUAACAGCAAAGGUUUUUGUCUCGCAGAUUCCAAGAGAUUGUCCCCUUAAACACGCUGACGGUGAUUGGCUCGGAAGACCCAACCGAAGCAACCAAAUGGAACUUGCUCAUUGGGAAAACUCUUAAUGACAAGUAUGGGUGCCCUUGGUUAACGCCCAUGUUGAAUCCAAUCUCAAGUGACAACUACUUCUAUGUGGGAAUCCCUGGCUCUGAAAAAAGGAGGCACAGCGUUAGCACACUGCCGGAGACACCAACGAGAUCAGGGUCAGUAAUCCAGCAUGAUAGGCCAUUUGGGCGCAGUAAGUACAAGUUAAUGGCAAGCAAGAAGAUGGUCGGGGUCUUCAUAAGCGUCUGGAUGAGGAGGGAAUUGCUCAGGAGGUAUUGCAUUUCAAACGUGAAAGUAAGUUCAGUACCCUGUGGAAUCAUGGGUUAUUUGGGAAACAAAGGCUCGGUUUCCGUUAGCAUGUCAAUUGAAGGAACUAGCUUUUGCUUCAUUGCUGCCCAUCUAGCUUCUGGUGAGAAGAAGGGCGACGAAGGGCGUAGGAAUCACCAAGUCUCUGAAAUUUUUAGGCGAACUACCUUCCCUAGACUCCCUGAAGAUGAUGAUAAUCCGCAUCCUUACACCAUCUUAGGACAUGAGUAAGUGGUCAAACUCUCAUCAAAUCAUAUGAGAAUUUGAGAAUACUGUUGUCAAAUCUGUCCAGGUUGAUUUCCAAUUCUCUUGGACCCAUGCGUGAGCAAGGUCUCAAUUUUGAUGAGAUGUUGCAAUUUUGUUUUGAUCUAGUCAUUUCAACACUUUUGAUAGCAGUAUUUUCAUCCCUAUAGAAAGAGAUUAAAAACUAAAUAGUCUACCCAUAUAGAAUAUGGCUUUUGAUAAAAUUUUAAUAUGGGUGGGAAAGAAUUAAUUGAAGAAUGAAGGCAACAUGAAAUGGAUACCUCCAUAUUAAAUGAAAAGUUCAUUUUUUUUUAAUGACAAUUUAAUAUGUCAUGGAACAGUCGGAUAUUCUGGUUGGGGGACCUCAACUAUAGAUUAUGCCUGGAGGACAACUUAGCCAGGAAGCUGAUAAAAAGACAAGACUGGAGAGCAUUACAAGAGUUUGAUCAACUAAGGAGGGAGCAAGAGGAUGGUGGAGUAUUCCAAGGUUGGAAAGAGGGCAACAUAGAAUUUGCUCCUACCUACAAGUACUCUACAUCAAAUUGCAAUCGAUACUCAGGUGGGCUUCCAAACAGAUCAGGAGAAAAGCAAAGAACUCCGGCAUGGUACAGUCAGUCAACCAUAUUCUGGAUAUUUGAUGCAGUGAUGCUUUUUACUAUUAUGAGUAUUGCCUCCUUUGGUCAGGAUUUAGUAUAAUUUUGGUAUAUGGGCCCAUCAAGGGACCUAGGUCACGGGCCAUAUAUAUGAUGAGCCCGGGGCCUUGUCUAACCUGCAAAUGCUACAGUUCUAGCAUGAAUAUUUUUUUCAACUCUCACUAUUUCCCUUUAAUUAAAUAGUUUCAUGAGGAUGAUCCAUGAAAAGAGGUAUUGGUUAUGGCAACAGGUGUGACAGGAUUCUAUGGUAUGGAAAGGGAGUAAAGCAACUGACCUACUUUCGGAGUGAGAGUAAGUUCUCAGAUCAUCGCCCUGUAUCUGCCCUUUUCUCGACACAGAUUGAAGUUGUCAAGUC